RNAcentral lists this ribosomal RNA (449 nucleotides) under uncultured bacterium. RNAcentral describes it as "partial 16S ribosomal RNA". It matches the Rfam family "Bacterial small subunit ribosomal RNA", at positions 29 to 523 of the family's 1533-position model. The record is from RNAcentral.
AACGAACGCUGGCGGCAGGCUUAACACAUGCAAGUCCAACGCAUCCUUCGGGGUGAGUGGCAGACGGGUGAGUAACGCGUGGGAACGUGCCCUUCAGUUCGGGAUAACCCAGGGAAACUUGGGCUAAUACCGGAUACGUGCGAGAGCAGAAAGAUUUAUCGCUGAAGGAUCGGCCCGCGUCUGAUUAGCUAGUUGGUGGGGUAAUGGCCCACCAAGGCGACGAUCAGUAGCUGGCCUGAGAGGAUGAUCAGCCACAUUGGGACUGAGACACGGCCCAAACUCCUACGGGAGGCAGCAGUGGGGAAUAUUGGACAAUGGGCGCAAGCCUGAUCCAGCCAUGCCGCGUGAGUGAUGAAGGCCUUAGGGUUGUAAAGCUCUUUCGUCCGGGACGAUAACGACGGUACCGGAAGAAGAAGCCCCGGCUAACUUCGUGCCAGCCGCCGCCGUAA